UACGUAGGGGGCAAGCGUUGUCCGGAUUUAUUGGGCGUAAAGAGCGUGUAGGCGGCCAGACAGGUCAGCUGUGAAAACUCGAGGCUCAACCUCGAGACGUCGGUUGAAACCGUCUGGCUAGAGUCCGGAAGAGGAGAGUGGAAUUCCCGGUGUAGCGGUGAAAUGCGCAGAUAUCGGGAAGAACACCCGUGGCGAAGGCGGCUCACUGGGACGGUACUGACGCUGAGACGCGAAAGCGUGGGGAGCGAACAGG
Molecule: ribosomal RNA, 253 nt
Filed under: uncultured bacterium
Lineage: Bacteria
Description: partial 16S ribosomal RNA
Rfam family: Bacterial small subunit ribosomal RNA
Source: RNAcentral